This 253-nucleotide ribosomal RNA is filed under the name uncultured bacterium. RNAcentral describes it as "partial 16S ribosomal RNA". It matches the Rfam family "Bacterial small subunit ribosomal RNA", at positions 524 to 776 of the family's 1533-position model. The record is from RNAcentral.
UACGGAGGGGACUAGCGUUGUUCGGAAUUACUGGGCGUAAAGCGCACGUAGGCGGAUUUGUAAGUCAGGGGUGAAAUCCCGGGGCUCAACCUCGGAACUGCCUUUGAUACUGCAAAUCUCGAGUCCGGAAGAGGUGAGUGGAAUUCCUAGUGUAGAGGUGAAAUUCGUAGAUAUUCGGAAGAACACCAGUGGCGAAGGCGGCUCACUGGCCCGGUACUGACGCUGAUGUGCGAAAGCGUGGGGAGCAAACAGG